RNAcentral lists this ribosomal RNA (497 nucleotides) under uncultured bacterium. RNAcentral describes it as "partial 16S ribosomal RNA". It matches the Rfam family "Bacterial small subunit ribosomal RNA", at positions 28 to 507 of the family's 1533-position model. The record is from RNAcentral.
GAUGAACGCUGGCAGCGUGCCUAAUACAUGCAAGUCGAGCGAACGGACGAGAAGCUUGCUUCUCUGAUGUUGGCGGCGGACGGGUGAGUAACACGUGGAUAACCUACCUAUAAGACUGGGAUAACUUCGGGAAACCGGAGCUAAUACCGGAUAAUAUUUUGAACCGCAUGGUUCAAAAGUGAAAGACGGUCUUGCUGUCACUUAUAGAUGGAUCCGCGCUGCAUUAGCUAGUUGGUAAGGUAACGGCUUACCAAGGCAACGAUGCAUAGCCGACCUGAGAGGGUGAUCGGCCACACUGGAACUGAGACACGGUCCAGACUCCUACGGGAGGCAGCAGUAGGGAAUCUUCCGCAAUGGGCGAAAGCCUGAUGGAGCAACGCCGCGUGAGUGAUGAAGGUCUUCGGAUCGUAAAACUCUGUUAUUAGGGAAGAACAUAUGUGUAAGUAACUGUGCACAUCUUGACGGUACCUAAUCAGAAAGCCACGGCUAACUACGUG